Molecule: ribosomal RNA, 459 nt
Filed under: uncultured bacterium
Lineage: Bacteria
Description: partial 16S ribosomal RNA
Rfam family: Bacterial small subunit ribosomal RNA
Source: RNAcentral
UCUACGGGGGGCAGCAGUGAGGAAUAUUGGUCAAUGGGCGCGAGCCUGAACCAGCCAAGUCGCGUGAGGGAAGACGGUCCUAUGGAUUGUAAACCUCUUUUGUCGGGGAGCAAAAGACGCCACGCGUGGCGUUCCGAGAGUACCUGAAGAAAAAGCAUCGGCUAACUCCGUGCCAGCAGCCGCGGUAAUACGGAGGAUGCGAGCGUUAUCCGGAUUUAUUGGGUUUAAAGGGUGCGUAGGCGGAAUAUCAAGUCAGCGGUAAAAAUUCGGGGCUCAACCCCGUCGUGCCGUUGAAACUGAUGUUCUUGAGUGGGCGAGAAGUAUGCGGAAUGCGUGGUGUAGCGGUGAAAUGCAUAGUUAUCACGCAGAACUCCGAUUGCGAAGGCAGCAUACCGGCGCCCAACUGACGCUGAAGCACGAAAGCGUGGGUAUCGAACAGGAUUAGAUACCCGUGUAGUC